AUUGAACGCUAGCGGGAUGCCUUACACAUGCAAGUCGAACGGAGUGGCGAACGGGUGAGUAAUGUAUAGGAACGUGCCCAGUAGCGGGGGAUAACUAAGCGAAAGCGUAGCUAAUACAGCAUACUAUCGGAGCGGCCGAUAUCGGAUUAGCUAGUUGGUGGGGUAACGGCUCACCAAGGCGACGUACCGUAGCUGGUUUGAGAGUACGACCAGCCACGUUGGGACUGAGACAUGGCCCAGGCUCCUACUGGAGGCAGGAUUGGUGAAUAUUGUACAAUGGGGUCAACCCUGAUCCAGCCAUCCCGCGUGUGCGAUGAAGGCCUUCGGGUUGUAAAGCACUUUUAGCAGGAAAGCGGUACCUGCAGAAUAAGCACCGGCUAACUACGUGCCAGCAGCCGCGGUAAUAC
Molecule: ribosomal RNA, 407 nt
Filed under: uncultured bacterium
Lineage: Bacteria
Description: partial 16S ribosomal RNA
Rfam family: Bacterial small subunit ribosomal RNA
Source: RNAcentral